GGAGCUUGCUCCCGGAUUCAGCGGCGGACGGGUGAGUAAUGCCUGGGAAUCUGCCUGGUAGUGGGGGAUAACGUCCGGAAACGGGCGCUAAUACCGCGUACGUCCUACGGGAGAAAGCAGGGGAUCUUCGGACCUUGCGCUAUCAGAUGAGCCCAGGCCGGAUUAGCUUGUUGGUGAGGUAAUGGCUCACCAAGGCGACGAUCCGUAACUGGUCUGAGAGGAUGAUCAGUCACACUGGAACUGAGACACGGUCCAGACUCCUACGGGAGGCAGCAGUGGGGAAUAUUGGACAAUGGGGGAAACCCUGAUCCAGCCAUGCCGCGUGUGUGAAGAAGGUCUUCGGAUUGUAAAGCACUUUAAGUUGGGAGGAAGGGCUUGCGGCUAAUACCUGCAAGUUUUGACGUUACCAACAGAAUAAGCACCGGCUAACUCUGUGCCAGCAGCCGCGGUAAUACAGAGGGUGCAAGCGUUAAUCGGAAUUACUGGGCGUAAAGCGCGCGUAGGUGGUUCAGUAAGAUGGAAGUGAAAUCCCCGGGCUUAACCUGGGAACUGCUUUCAUAACUGCUGGGCUAGAGUACGGUAGAGGGUAGUGGAAUUUCCUGUGUAGCGGUGAAAUGCGUAGAUAUAGGAAGGAACACCAGUGGCGAAGGCGACUACCUGGACUGAUACUGACACUGAGGUGCGAAAGCGUGGGGAGCAAACAGGAUUAGAUACCCUGGUAGUCCACGCCGUAACGAUGUCAACUAGCCGUUGGAGUCCUUGAGACUUUAGUGGCGCAGCUACGCACUAAGUUGACCGCCUGGGGAGUACGGUCGCAAGAUUAAAACUCAAUGAAUUGACGGGGGCCCGCACAAGCGGUGGAGCA
RNAcentral lists this ribosomal RNA (865 nucleotides) under Halopseudomonas pertucinogena. Its description in RNAcentral is "bacterial SSU rRNA". It matches the Rfam family "Bacterial small subunit ribosomal RNA", at positions 75 to 939 of the family's 1533-position model. The record is from RNAcentral. Lineage: Bacteria; Pseudomonadati; Pseudomonadota; Gammaproteobacteria; Pseudomonadales; Pseudomonadaceae.